RNAcentral lists this ribosomal RNA (446 nucleotides) under uncultured bacterium. RNAcentral describes it as "bacterial SSU rRNA". It matches the Rfam family "Bacterial small subunit ribosomal RNA", at positions 329 to 792 of the family's 1533-position model. The record is from RNAcentral.
UUCCAGACUCCUACGGGAGGCAGCAGUGGGGAAUAUUGCACAAUGGGGGAAACCCUGAUGCAGCGACGCCGCGUGAGUGAAGAAGUAUUUCGGUAUGUAAAGCUCUAUCAGCAGGGAAGAAAAUGACGGUACCUGAAGAAGAAGCCCCGGCUAACUACGUGCCAGCAGCCGCGGUAAUACGUAGGGGGCAAGCGUUAUCCGGAUUUACUGGGUGUAAAGGGGGCGCAGACGGCGAUGCAAGCCAGGAGUGAAAGCCCGGGGCCCAACCCCGGGACUGCUCUUGGAACUGCGUGGCUGGAGUGCAGGAGGGGCAGGCGGAAUUCCUGGUGUAGCGGUGAAAUGCGUAGAUAUCAGGAGGAACACCGGUGGCGAAGGCGGCCUGCUGGACUGCAACUGACGUUGAGGCCCGAAAGCGUGGGGAGCAAACAGGAUUAGAUCCCCUAGUA